AGUGAACGCUGGCGGUAGGCCUAACACAUGCAAGUCGAACGGCAGCACAGUAAGAGCUUGCUCUUACGGGUGGCGAGUGGCGGACGGGUGAGGAAUACAUCGGAAUCUACUUUUUCGUGGGGGAUAACGUAGGGAAACUUACGCUAAUACCGCAUACGACCUACGGGUGGAAGCAGGGGAUCUUCGGACCUUGCGCGAUUGAAUGAGCCGAUGUCGGAUUAGCUAGUUGGCUGGGUAAAGGCCCACCAAGGCGACGAUCCGUAGCUGGUCUGAGAGGAUGAUCAGCCACACUGGAACUGAGACACGGUCCAGACUCCUACGGGAGGCAGCAGUGGGGAAUAUUGGACAAUGGGCGAAAGCCUGAUCCAGCCAUACCGCGUGGGUGAAGAAGGCCUUCGGGUUGUAAAGCCCUUUUGUUGGGAAAGAAAAGCAGCAGGUUAAUACCCCGCUGUUCUGACGGUACCCAAAGAAUAAGCACCGGCUAACUUCGUG
Molecule: ribosomal RNA, 492 nt
Filed under: uncultured bacterium
Lineage: Bacteria
Description: partial 16S ribosomal RNA
Rfam family: Bacterial small subunit ribosomal RNA
Source: RNAcentral